RNAcentral lists this unclassified non-coding RNA (331 nucleotides) under soil metagenome. RNAcentral describes it as "partial contains 5.8S ribosomal RNA, internal transcribed spacer 2, and large subunit ribosomal RNA". The stretch from base 1 to 120 matches the Rfam family "5.8S ribosomal RNA", at positions 35 to 154 of the family's 154-position model. The record is from RNAcentral.
GAUGAAGAACGUAGCGAAAUGCGAUAAGUAAUGUGAAUUGCAGAAUUCAGUGAAUCAUCGAAUCAUUGAACGCACAUUGCGCCCCCUGGUAUUCCGGGGGGCAUGCCUGUUCGAGCGUCAUUUCACCACUCAAGCCUCGCUUGGUAUUGGGCAACGCGGUCCGCCGCGUGCCUCAAAUCGACCGGCUGGGUCUUCUGUCCCCUAAGCGUUGUGGAAACUAUUCGCUAAAGGGUGUUCGGGAGGCUACGCCGUAAAACAACCCCAUUUCUAAGGUUGACCUCGGAUCAGGUAGGGAUACCCGCUGAACUUAAGCAUAUCAAUAAGCGGAGGA